This is a long non-coding RNA of Panicum virgatum (switchgrass), 954 nucleotides long. RefSeq lists it as uncharacterized. NCBI's taxonomy places the organism in Eukaryota, Viridiplantae, Streptophyta, Magnoliopsida, Poales, Poaceae. The transcript is spliced from 2 exons. The record is from RefSeq and is a predicted model, not a curated record.
GCCAAUUUACAAACCUUCUUUAACUUCUGCUUUAAGCCCAACUCGUUUGCGGCCCAUUAAUUAACACUGUUAAUUUAUGGCGAUAACACUCGCGCCCGCACGGCCGGCAACGCCUGCGCAAGGAUGGAGGCUGACGGCCAUCUACUUCGACAUGUACAUGAAAGGUGUCCUCUUCUUACCCUUAGGUGCAUGCAUGUUGUAUUCAUCUGCAACUUGCUUCCAAUAAUGAGGCCCUGAUUUUGAAUUGCUAUCUAUUGGGUCAUUGGAGUUGUUUAUCCAAGAACUUAUCAAUCGAAGAUUGUCUUCUUCAGACCAAUACAUCCUCCCACCUUUCUUUUCCUCAUCUGAACCUACAUCACUCCAUUCUUCACCUCUGACUGCAUCUUUGUUUGUAUGCUCUAUAGGAAGCAUUGGAGAGGUGAUUGGAGAAGUUGAGCCCUCACCUCUUGAACCACCAACUCCAAACAUAGCAACUGAACCAAUUGGUGAAGAUGGACCACCAGCCAUGUCGCCCCCAUGAAAAUUGCCAGGGAAAGGAAUGCCAUGCUGGUAACUUGCUGCUGGAAAUUGGUAACCUUGUUGGACACCAAAUGGAUUGAAAUUUGGUGGGUAGUACUGAGGUGCAAAUGGGUUGGGACCAAAUUGAUGGGGUGGACAAUUCAUGGGAAAAUGGGGUGGAAAACCAGGCUGUUGUUGGGUGUUUGGGUAUUGAAGAUUUGAGCUUUGGAUUUCUGAAUUCAUCAGAUUUGUAAAGCUAGAUGUAGAAUGGUUCUCCAUUGUGGUAAUGUGUGAGUUUGAAUGUAUGAAGUUCAUGUAUAUAGAGGAGCAGGCAAGCAAGUCCCUCUGUAAAUGGCUAUACCAACGCCCAACCGCCAUAUGUACUAUAUAAAUGCUUAUUUUAUUUGGAAUGGGAGGAGGGGGAGGUAACGUCUAUAUGCAUGGCCCAUUAUUUUA